GGUGGACCUUUGAUUUUUGUCUGGGAAACUGCCUGAUGGAGGGGGAUAACUACUGGAAACGGUAGCUAAUACCGCAUAACGUCGCAAGACCAAAGAGGGGGACCUUCGGGCCUCUUGCCAUCGGAUGUGCCCAGAUGGGAUUAGCUAGUAGGUGGGGUAACGGCUCACCUAGGCGACGAUCCCUAGCUGGUCUGAGAGGAUGACCAGCCACACUGGAACUGAGACACGGUCCAGACUCCUACGGGAGGCAGCAGUGGGGAAUAUUGCACAAUGGGCGCAAGCCUGAUGCAGCCAUGCCGCGUGUAUGAAGAAGGCCUUCGGGUUGUAAAGUACUUUCAGCGGGGAGGAAGGCGAUAAGGUUAAUAACCUUGUCGAUUGACGUUACCCGCAGAAGAAGCACCGGCUAACUCCGUGCCAGCAGCCGCGGUAAUACGGAGGGUGCAAGCGUUAUCGGAAUUACUGGGCGUAAAGCGCACGCAGGCGGUCUGUCAAGUCGGAUGUGAAAUCCCCGGGCUCACCUGGGAACUGCAUUCAAAACUGG
This 541-nucleotide ribosomal RNA is filed under the name Enterobacter sp. RNAcentral describes it as "bacterial SSU rRNA". It matches the Rfam family "Bacterial small subunit ribosomal RNA", at positions 97 to 636 of the family's 1533-position model. Lineage: Bacteria; Pseudomonadati; Pseudomonadota; Gammaproteobacteria; Enterobacterales; Enterobacteriaceae. The record is from RNAcentral.